GUUUGUAAAUGUCAAGAAUAAUCUCAAAUUUAAAUACAAUAUGUUUGUAAAUGUCAAGAAUAAAAUCCUUGAAAUGUUGAACAAACCUUCUAUUUGUUUGUGAGGUGAAGGUAGAAGUGGAGAUUCAUAGACAUAUUUUGAUUGGAACUUUGAAUUCAUCAUUUGAACUAUUUCACUGAGAAUUUUCAUCAACUUCAACCUAUAAAAUAUAUACACAAUUCACGAGCAUUGAAAAAGAGAAACUACUUUGCCAUGUUUGAAAAGGAGGGCACGUCUCUUGCAAGUAAAAAGAUUUAACAUCCCUAAUGAAUGAAAAUAAAACCCUGGAUCUUCAUCUACACAGAAAACACAAUGUUACAAAAUGGUAUGCACAAGUAUCAAAAACGUGGUUGCUUAAGUUUUUGUUAUGAUAGAGCAUGAACCUGCAGCACAAUAAAACACAUCCUGAAACUGAGUUUUAUGAUUGUAUUUAUACGGUAAAAUAAAACACAACGGAUUGAGAACUUAAAUACAACUUUAUUCAGUAAUGGUCAGUGAGUUGGUAUCUAAUGAGCACACAUCUGACACAUUAAAGAACCCAAAGAAAAAAUUAAAGACUUGGGCAUUUCCACGCACCUGGGGUGGGGUUGAGGGUUUCUAUGCAAAAAGGCUCUCUCUAGGAUUUGGGUUUCUUCUUUGAUUAUUAUUUUUUUUAUUAUUGGUGUCAGCAGUGUGAACACAGACUUUGAGGUAACUCAGAAAACCUGCAUUAUUGGUCUGGAUGAAUUAUGAAAAACAAAAAAAACAAAAAAAACAAAAAAAAUCUACCCCAUCAAAUACCAGGUUUUAGGGCAAAGAACAAUGUCUGUCAUAAGAUUCAUUAUGUUUGUGAGUCCAGCGGUGGCCCGUUAUCCUUUCAACCUUGUGCCAUGGUUCGAGUGAUGCUUCAUUUGAUCAUUUUACUCACAUUGCACUCAUAACAUCCAUUUCAUGUGACACUCUGAUAUAUAUAUUUUUUCACCGAGGAAGAUUCAAAAAGGAAUUUUUUUACAUCUUGUGUAGGAUAGAACUUUUCAUGGGUCACUGUAAAUUUGCCCCUUUUGCAGCAUUCCUUCUCUGUGAUUUUAAGGUGGAAUAUUAUGUAGGGUCAAUGGAAAAGCGCAUUAUGAAACACAGUGGUGGAGUUUCAAGGCAUGGAGUUUCAAUUGGUGAAAGAAAGGUGUGACUGAACUGCUCAUAUAGAGCACAAAACAUUAACAGAUCUGAGCAUGAUUCUAAGAUUCUUAACAACUUUAACAAACCAUGACAGAGUGCGGAGAAGACGAAAAAGCUCUGUGGAGAAUAUAUCUCAGUCGUUGUUUUGCCUUAC
This 1348-nucleotide long non-coding RNA is filed under the name Physcomitrium patens. RNAcentral describes it as "long non-coding RNA (PPAT_LNC006366)". Lineage: Eukaryota; Viridiplantae; Streptophyta; Bryopsida; Funariales; Funariaceae. The record is from RNAcentral.